CAGUCGCCGCGGGAAUACGUAGGGCGCAAGCGUUGUCCGGAAUUAUUGGGCGUAAAGAGCUCGUAGGCGGUCUGUCGCGUCUGGUGUGAAAUCCCGAGGCUCAACCUCGGGCUUGCAUCGGGUACGGGCAGACUAGAGUGCGGUAGGGGAGACUGGAAUUCCUGGUGUAGCGGUGGAAUGCGCAGAUAUCAGGAGGAACACCGAUGGCGAAGGCAGGUCUCUGGGCCGCAACUGACGCUGAGGAGCGAAAGCAUGGGGAGCGAACAGGAUUAGAUACCCGCGUAGUCCCUGUCUCUUAUAA
Molecule: ribosomal RNA, 301 nt
Filed under: uncultured bacterium
Lineage: Bacteria
Description: partial 16S ribosomal RNA
Rfam family: Bacterial small subunit ribosomal RNA
Source: RNAcentral